This 2071-nucleotide long non-coding RNA is filed under the name Calidris pugnax (ruff). RNAcentral describes it as "lncRNA (ENSCPUG00000008127.1)". Lineage: Eukaryota; Metazoa; Chordata; Aves; Charadriiformes; Scolopacidae. The record is from RNAcentral.
UCACCCCCCAAAAAAACCACCUUUUGGAAUAAAAACCCGCUUUUAAUCUCCCCCUUUUUUUUCCAUCCCCUGCCCCCAAAACCAGGGUUGGGGGGGGUGUGUGUGUGUGUGUCCCCCCCCCCUCACUCCCCCUGGAGGAGCUGGAGGAUUUCGGGGUCCAGGCGGGCGGGGGCCAGGCAGGCCAGGAGCCGGGGGGCCGUGGCCCCCCCUUUUUCCUUCCUCCUCCAUUCCCUCAGCAUCUGGAAGCUCCUCAUGACGGCGUUCCCUCCUUCCUCCUCCCGGAUCUGCUCCAGACGGCUCCUCUCCAGCCCCAGGCACCCGAUCCCCACCUCCUCCCACUCUUUGCCCAAUUUUUGGGCGAUUGCCAGCAAAUCCUUCUCCGUCAACACGCGGGGGGGCGGGGGGGACACCCCCGGGUUGAGGGUCGGACACCCCGUAUCCUUCCUCCAUCCUCCCAGGGAGGAGGAAGAGGAGGCGUUUGGUGCCACCUUCUCCUUCUCCUUUUCCUUCUCCUUCUCCUUCUCCUUUUCCUUCUCCUUCUCCUUCUCCUUCUCCUUCUCCUUCUCCUUCUCCUUCUCCUUCUCCUUCUCCUUCUCCUUCUCCUUCUCCUUCUCCUUCUCCUUCUCCUUCUUCACCUCUUUCUUCCUCUUCUUCUUCUUCCUCCUCCUCCUCUUCCUCGGCCCCGGGGAGGCGAUGGAGGCGCAGGAGGUCCCGGCGACCGAGGUGACGGAGAACGUCGGCGGCCACUUCCAAAGCUUUUCCGGGGAAGCGCUGGAGCAGGAGGCGGCAGAGCUCCGGGCGGGAUGUGGGGCUGAGCGCGCCGUGGGGCAGCCGCCCCUCCAGCAGGUACUUGAAGGUCUGGAAUUCCUCCUCCGACAGCGCCCGCUGCAGGGCCAGCAGCGUCUCCCGCUCGCCCCCCGCCAUGGGGCUGGGCUGGGGGUUAGGGGGCGGCCGUCAGACCCACGGAGAGCUGUGGGGCUGGGCUACCCCCCGACCCAUAGGCUGCCGUGGGGAGAGAUCACCCCCUGCCCCAUAGAAUCCCAUAGGGAGAGAUCAGUCCCUGCCCCAUAGACUGCCAUGGGGACAGAUCACCCCCUGACCCAUAGACGGACGUGGAGGCUGGGUCAUCCCCUGCCCCACAGCCUGCCAUGGGGCGGGGCCACCCCCUACCCCAUAGGCUGCUGUGGGGCUGGGCCACCCUCUGCCCCAGAGAUUGCUGUGGGGACAGAUCACCCCCUGCCCCAUAGACUGCCAUAGGGAGAGAUCACUUCCUGCCCCAUAGACUGCCGUGGGGACAGAUCACCCUCUGCCCCAUAGAUUGCUCUGGGGAUAGAUCACCCCCUGACCCAUAGAGUGCUGUGGGGAUAGAUCACCCCCUGCCCCAUAGGCUGCUGUGGGGCUGGGCCACCCCCUGCCCCAUAGACUCCCAUAGGGAGAGAUCCCUCCCUGACCCAUAGGCUGCCGUGGGAACAGAUCACCCCCUGCCCCAUAGACUGCCAUAGGGAGAGAUCACUUCCUGCCCCAUAGACUGCCGUGGGGACAGAUCACCCUCUGCCCCAUAGAUUGCUCUGGGGAUAGAUCACCCCCUGACCCAUAGAGUGCUGUGGGGAUAGAUCACCCCCUGCCCCAUAGGCUGCUGUGGGGCUGGGCCACCCCCUGCCCCAUAGACUCCCAUAGGGAGAGAUCCCUCCCUGACCCAUAGGCUGCCGUGGGAACAGAUCACCCCCUGCCCCAUAGACUGCCAUGGGGCUGGGACAUCCCCUGCCCCAUAGAUGGACGUGGAGGGUGGGUCAUCCCCUGCCCCACAGCCUGCCAUGGGGCUGGGCCACCCUCUGCCCCAGAGAUUGCUGUGGGGACAGAUCACCCCCUGCCCCAUAGACUGCCAUGGGGCUGGGACAUCCCCUGCCCCAUAGAUGGACGUGGAGGGUGGGUCAUCCCCUGCCCCACAGCCUGCCAUGGGGCUGGGCCACCCCCUGCCCCAUAGACUCCCAUAGGGAGAGAUCACUCCCUGACCCAUAGGCUGCCGUGGGAACAGAUCACCCCCUGCCCCAUAGACUGCCAUGGUGCUGGG